CCCUAUGGGGUGCAGCAGGCGCGAAACCUUUACAAUGCACGAAAGUGUGAUAAGGGGAUCCUGAGUGCUUACGCUUUGCGUAGGCUUUUGCCAAGAGUAAACUUCUUGGAGAAUAAGUGGUGGGUAAGACUGGUGCCAGCCGCCGCGGUAACACUAGCGCCACGAGUGGGAAUCGCUAUUAUUGGGCCUAAAGCGUCCGUAGCUGGUUUGAUAAAUCUUUUGUGAAAUCGUCGGACUUAAUCCGACGGCGUGCAGAAGACACUGUCAGACUAGGGACCGGGAGGAGUCAGAGGUAUUCUUUGGGGAGCGGUAAAAUGCUAUAAUCCUUAGAGGACCACCUAUGGCGAAGGCAUCUGACCAGAACGGAUCCGACAGUGAGGGACGAAAGCCAGGGGAGCAAACCGGAUUAGAUACAAGUAAUUUUCUUUAGAAAAUUUCUGUACAAGCAAGCAAUUUUGCUUGAUAAAAAAACUACAUUGCUUGUUCAGUGUGGAAAUAUGUUAUGAAAAUUUCUUGCUAAGUACCCGCGUAGUCCUGGCCGUAAACGCUGCGAGCUAGGUGUUGCAUAAUCUAUAAGAUUAUGCAGUGUCGAAGCGAAGGUGUUAAGCUCGCCGCCUGGGAAGUAUGGUCGCAAGACUGAAACUUAAAGGAAUUGGCGGGGGAGCACCACAAGGGGUGCGGCGUGCGGUUUAAUCUAACUCAACGCAGAGAAUCUCACCAGGGGCGACGGCAGGAUGAAAGUCAGUCUGAAGGGCUUACUGACAGCUGAGAGGAGGUGCAUGG
This 783-nucleotide ribosomal RNA is filed under the name uncultured euryarchaeote. RNAcentral describes it as "bacterial SSU rRNA". It matches the Rfam family "Archaeal small subunit ribosomal RNA", at positions 321 to 997 of the family's 1478-position model. The record is from RNAcentral. Lineage: Archaea; Methanobacteriati; Methanobacteriota.